Long non-coding RNA from Papaver somniferum (opium poppy), 436 nucleotides. RefSeq lists it as uncharacterized. The transcript has 3 exons. The record is from RefSeq and is a predicted model, not a curated record. NCBI's taxonomy places the organism in Eukaryota, Viridiplantae, Streptophyta, Magnoliopsida, Ranunculales, Papaveraceae.
AAAGGAAUGGUCGAAAUUGACCUUCCAACAAAUAGUAACCCUAGUGAGGAAAGACGGGGAGAACAGAAGAGAUCGAGGAAACGGAGAAGAAGAGAACAGAGGAAGAAGAGAUCGAAGAAGAGAUCGAGGAAGACGGAGAAGAAGAGAUCGAGGAAUAAUCAUGGAAAUCGACCAUGAUUGAGGAACGAUUCUAUUAGUUAUUACGAAACAACAUCAAAAGGAGAUAUAACAUUAUAAAUACUAAGGAGAUAUUCCAGCUCAUUCGUCAGAUUCUCAGACAUAAUCGUCGUUUAUACCUUUCCUGAAUCCGAAAUUGACAAGACCAACUUCCAGUAUGGCUCCUCUAUUCUUGACAAAGAAAAGAAAACUAGAAAUGAUGAAUGAUAAUAUCCGAACAACGUUGGAUGCUGUAACUUUAUUUUACGUCUACUUUUAU